AUGGCCUGGGCUCCUCUUCUCACCCUCUUCAUUCAUUGCACAAGAUCCUGGACCCAGUCUGUGCUGACUCAGCCGCCCUUAGUGUCUGGGAACCUGGGCCAACAGGUCACCAUCUCCUGCACUGGGAGCAGCACCAACCUUGGCAGUUACUAUGCAGGCUGGUACCAACAGCUUCCAGGCCAAGCCCCUAGAGCCCUUGUCUAUGGUAAUAACAAUCGACCCUCGGGGAUCCCAGACAGAUUCUCAGGUUCUUAUUCUGGGAAUUCAGCCUCCCUGACCAUCAGUGGGCUCCAGGGGGAGGAUGAGGCUCAUUAUUACUGUGGAUCCGAUGAUACCAGCUUAGAGUUCGCACUGUGCUUCAGGCCUGCAAGGAAGUGA
This is a non-coding RNA of Elephantulus edwardii (Cape elephant shrew), 378 nucleotides long. Lineage: Eukaryota; Metazoa; Chordata; Mammalia; Macroscelidea; Macroscelididae. The record is from the annotation of a RefSeq genome assembly.